RNAcentral lists this ribosomal RNA (317 nucleotides) under uncultured Methanomicrobiaceae archaeon. RNAcentral describes it as "bacterial SSU rRNA". It matches the Rfam family "Archaeal small subunit ribosomal RNA", at positions 327 to 648 of the family's 1478-position model. The record is from RNAcentral. Lineage: Archaea; Methanobacteriati; Methanobacteriota; Methanomicrobia; Methanomicrobiales; Methanomicrobiaceae.
GGGGCGCAGCAGGCGCGAAAACUUUACAAUGCGGGCAACCGUGAUAAGGAAACUCCGAGUGCCUGUAAUGGCAGGCUGUCCAUCAGUUUAAAACACUGGUGAAGAAAGGGCCGGGCAAGACCGGUGCCAGCCGCCGCGGUAAUACCGGCGGCUCGAGUGGUGGCCACUAUUACUGGGCUUAAAGGGUCCGUAGCUUGAUAGUUAAGUCCCUUGAGAAAUCCACCGGCUUAACUGGUGGGCGUUCAGGGGAAACUGGCUUUCUAGGGACCGGGAGAGGUAAGAGGUACUGCCGGGGUAGGAGUGAAAUCCUGUAAUCC